This is a long non-coding RNA of Momordica charantia (bitter melon), 582 nucleotides long. RefSeq lists it as uncharacterized. Lineage: Eukaryota; Viridiplantae; Streptophyta; Magnoliopsida; Cucurbitales; Cucurbitaceae. The record is from RefSeq and is a predicted model, not a curated record.
UUCCGAUGACGUUCGGUGUCGACCCACCCCUAGCAGGACCCAAACUAGUGUUACCCACCCCAACCUGGCGUUGGACUAGCAAGCCUGAACCGAUUYGGCGUCGUUUCUGUGGUGUGGAACCUGUUUGGAAGUGACCUACUCCUAAACCAAGUGAUUCGGUGUGGGUUUGUAGGAACCCUUUUGGCGAGCUUAGUGGCGCAUUAGAACUUUGAGCGGAGAUUUUGGUGACGACCAUGGCGAUGACGUGGAGGAGGCAUGACAAGAGAGGACCAUAGGCUGCGUAGUUAUUUUCGCUUAACAUAGGUUUAGAUGGUUUAUACAUUAUUGUUUUGACAAUAAACCACUUGUUCUGUUUGAUUGUUGGGAGUUUCCCACCUAUUGUUUGCCAUGACUCGGGAUGGGUUCUUCAUUUAUUUUAUAUAAAUAUUUCACAGGGAGUUGUUUAUCUCGGGUUUAGAGAUAAUAUUUGACAGGGGGUUUAAUUAACGUUACCUAGAAUAGUGUAAAAUGUUCUGGGGCGUUACACCUUCGUUGUUUCUCGUUCUAUGAGAUAUCACAUUAUUCAACCAAGUUAGUGUGUAA